CCCCUUACCUGCCGGGUGCCCCCGGGGAGAGCCGUGGCAUGGCUGUGGGUCCUGUGCUCUCUGGGUGUCUGAGGGUUUGCUUUGGGAUCCCAAACCCUUUCCCCGUGCAGGGUUAUGAGGCAAAGACUGCUUUAACUUGGUUUUUUGGUGCUGCGUUAAUGCUUUUUGCUCGUUCUGUGUCCAUUUGCAGCCUCGCUCGUGGUUUCCCCUGGUGUGGAGGCGAGUUGUGCUUCCUGCUGGGAGAGAGAACGGCCUUGGGAAGCUGCUCCAUGAGCCACAGCUGUGCCGAGCCCGGCAGUCUGUCCAGACUUCGCAAAGCUCCCCAGGAAAGGAAGCUUUAUAUUCCUCCCCAGCUUUAUGCUAAAGGUUUCCUUCCUCCUGUCUCAGCACCCUUUCUGCUGUUGGGAGAGCACGCGGUGGAUGGAGAGGAUCCCCAGGCAUCUGCAGGCACAAGGGACUCAUACAACUGCGAUUUUCCUCCAGCCCUCGUGAAAGGGACUUCCAGGAUACUCUUGGGAAUGUACCAGCUCUCCUGCUGGAGCUUUUCUAUGGAAUAUUUGAACACAAAGGGUAAAACUAAAGUCAGGUCUGUUCUGGAGUAUGUUACACUUGUGCAAAACUCCGUUCUUCUGUUUAUUUUCUGUUCUGGAAAGAACAGUCUGGGGUUCCUGGGCACUUCCUAUUGAGUGAUUCCAUGAAAAUAAUUUUGUACUGAAAGGGGAAAGGAGCUGUCUGUGGGAGGUCAGGUGUCCAUGAUAAAAGCUUUAUGCUUUUCAGUCAGAUAAGCCUUAAAAUAUCUCACAGUGUAUAGGAAUGCCUGGCUUCUAAAAGUCACCAGCUGAGUCUUAGAGGCUCCUUUGAAGAGCUGUUUUCAGGCAGGCAAAUUGCCCCCCAGGAGGGACUCUGUGCCUGCUCUCCCGUGGCUCCAAGGGAUCUCUGGCCCUUCACGCCGGCACCGAGAUUUUCUCGGGAAGGGCCUCAGAUCUCCGGACCAGUCUGGGACACAGGCAAGAUCCCCCUGCAGUUUAGGACCAAAUUGGCCCCCUGGAGGGACAGUGCUGUUGGUGCCCCCCGGGUUGGGGCACCCCGAGGACUCCAGCGCGCACCGAAAGGAUUAUUCGGGGAGAUCCUCGGGGUGCCCGGCCCUGGGGAGCUCAAAGCAAGGUCCCUGCCAUGGAUUCAGGCAUUGCUGAGAGUAUCCCAGGGGUCCCUGUCCCUGCUAGACAGGGAGCUCUCUAAUGGGCUGUAAUUGGGUUCUAAAAGCGGUGCUCCAAGUGCCAAAGAAGUGUGGGAUUGGGAUUAAGAAAUGAGCAGUGAGGGUGCAAUUGGCUGUUUUCUCUGGAAUGUGACUGUGAGAGCUGCAGGAGUGCCAGGUGUGUGUUCCAGUCCCCAGCAUUU
Long non-coding RNA from Manacus vitellinus (golden-collared manakin), 1398 nucleotides. RefSeq lists it as uncharacterized. The record is from RefSeq and is a predicted model, not a curated record. The transcript has 2 exons. NCBI's taxonomy places the organism in Eukaryota, Metazoa, Chordata, Aves, Passeriformes, Pipridae.